This 534-nucleotide unclassified non-coding RNA is filed under the name uncultured fungus. RNAcentral's name for it is "partial contains 5.8S ribosomal RNA, internal transcribed spacer 2, and large subunit ribosomal RNA". The stretch from base 186 to 348 matches the Rfam family "5.8S ribosomal RNA". Lineage: Eukaryota; Fungi. The record is from RNAcentral.
AACGCACAUUGCGCCCCUUGGUAUUCCGAGGGGCAUGCCUGUUCGAGCGUCAUUUCACCACUCAAGCCUGGCUUGGUAUUGGGCGCCGCGGUCCGCCGCGCGCCUCAAUGUUUCCGGCUGAGCCGUCCGUCUCUAAGCGUUGUGGUAACCUAUCCGCUUGCGAGUCGGGGGGCGUCUGGCCGUUAAACUCAUUCAAAGGUUGACCUCGGAUCAGGUAGGGAUACCCGCUGAACUUAAGCAUAUCAAUAAGCGGAGGAUCACACUGUGACUACGCUCUGUGAAUCAUCGAGUCUUUGAACGCACAUUGCGCCCCUUGGUAUUCCGAGGGGCAUGCCUGUUCGAGCGUCAUUUCACCACUCAAGCCUGGCUUGGUAUUGGGCGCCGCGGUCCGCCGCGCGCCUCAAUGUUUCCGGCUGAGCCGUCCGUCUCUAAGCGUUGUGGUAACCUAUCCGCUUGCGAGAUCGGGGGGCGUCUGGCCGUUAAACUCAUUCAAAGGUUGACCUCGGAUCAGGUAGGGAUACCCGCUGAACUUAA